Molecule: ribosomal RNA, 253 nt
Filed under: uncultured bacterium
Lineage: Bacteria
Description: partial 16S ribosomal RNA
Rfam family: Bacterial small subunit ribosomal RNA
Source: RNAcentral
UACGUAGGGGGCUAGCGUUGUCCGGAAUCAUUGGGCGUAAAGAGCUCGUAGGCGGUUCGUCGCGUCGGCUGUGAAAACCCGGAGCUCAACUCCGGGCCUGCAGUCGAUACGGGCGGACUUGAGUGUUGCAGGGGAGACUGGAAUUCCUGGUGUAGCGGUGAAAUGCGCAGAUAUCAGGAGGAACACCGGUGGCGAAGGCGGGUCUCUGGGCAACUACUGACGCUGAGGAGCGAAAGCGUGGGGAGCGAACAGG